AUGCUUCAAGAAGUGUUUUACAUGAAUUCUUACACCCAGCGCACCCUGGAUUCCUCCCUGAAAUACAUUAAAAGCUGCUUCUUGACAAAAGGAUAUAGAGUGCUUCUUGGUCGGCUUGCAAAAAUGAGCACGGGCUACUUUGCUGUCAGCGUUAGCACUGACCUGUCUCCGACAUCAGCCAAGAGUGAACAGCAGCAACAUACCGAGUCAGAGAAGUCAGCAAAGCCAAAAAUCAGAGAAGAUGAUUUCAAGCUUGGGUUGGAACAGAAGAGAGAGAGCAAGAGUGAAAGCAGAAUUCUGAAUCCAGAAGCCACAAAAAUGAAGAUCUUUACUUUUCCUCAGCAUGCCUUAUCAAUCUGUAGAGAACAUGAAAGGUUUUUAUAUUUGCAAGACCCAGGGAAUUAUCUGGAGGUGAACUGGUAUCUCUAUUUAAUUCCCUUUGGUCAUGGUCAAUGUCAUCCAGUAGAAAUCAGAAGAAAUAAGUUAUUAGAAACAAGGCAUGUGGUAAUGAAAGUAAAAACCUAUCGUACUGGCAUCAGACUACUGAUCAUUGCAAUGAACUCUAUUAUCUUUACAAAUUGGGUUUCUCACCUGAUCAAUGAUAAUGUAAGAAAUGUGUACUUCUGA
This 627-nucleotide long non-coding RNA is filed under the name Oryctolagus cuniculus (rabbit). RNAcentral describes it as "lncRNA (ENSOCUG00000038562.1)". Lineage: Eukaryota; Metazoa; Chordata; Mammalia; Lagomorpha; Leporidae. The record is from RNAcentral.